RNAcentral lists this ribosomal RNA (460 nucleotides) under uncultured bacterium. Its description in RNAcentral is "partial 16S ribosomal RNA". It matches the Rfam family "Bacterial small subunit ribosomal RNA", at positions 338 to 795 of the family's 1533-position model. The record is from RNAcentral.
CCUACGGGGGGCAGCAGUGAGGAAUAUUGGUCAAUGGGCUUACGCCUGAACCAGCCAAGUCGCGUGAGGGAAGACUGCCCUAUGGGUUGUAAACCUCUUUUGUCAGGGAGCAAUUGGCGCUACGUGUAGCGUUAUCGAGAGUACCUGAAGAAAAAGCAUCGGCUAACUCCGUGCCAGCAGCCGCGGUAAUACGGGGGAUGCGAGCGUUAUCCGGAUUUAUUGGGUUUAAAGGCUGCGUAGGCGGCAUGCAACGUCAGCGGUAAAAUCGCGGGGCUCAACCUCGCUCCGCGGUUGAAACUGGCGAACUAGAGUGGGCGAGAGGUAAGCGGAAUGCGUGGUGUAGCGGUGAAAUGCAUAGAUAUCAGGCAGAACUCCGAUGGCGAAGGCAGCAUACCGGCGCCCAACUGACGCUGAGGCACGAAAGCGUGGGUAUCGAACAGGAUUAGAUACCCCUGUAGUC